GAUGAACGCUGGCGGCGUGCCUAAUACAUGCAAGUCGAGUGAACAGACGAGGAGCUUGCUCCUCUGACGUUAGCGGCGGACGGGUGAGUAACACGUGGAUAACCUACCUAUAAGACUGGGAUAACUUCGGGAAACCGGAGCUAAUACCGGAUAAUAUAUUGAACCGCAUGGUUCAAUAGUGAAAGACGGUUUUGCUGUCACUUAUAGAUGGAUCCGCGCCGCAUUAGCUAGUUGGUAAGGUAACGGCUUACCAAGGCAACGAUGCGUAGCCGACCUGAGAGGGUGAUCGGCCACACUGGAACUGAGACACGGUCCAGACUCCUACGGGAGGCAGCAGUAGGGAAUCUUCCGCAAUGGGCGAAAGCCUGACGGAGCAACGCCGCGUGAGUGAUGAGGGUCUUCGGAUCGUAAAACUCUGUUAUUAGGGAAGAACAAAUGUGUAAGUAACUAUGCACGUCUUGACGGUACCUAAUCAGAAAGCCACGGCUAACUACGUG
Molecule: ribosomal RNA, 497 nt
Filed under: uncultured bacterium
Lineage: Bacteria
Description: partial 16S ribosomal RNA
Rfam family: Bacterial small subunit ribosomal RNA
Source: RNAcentral